GCCAGACUCCUACGGGAGGCAGCAGUGGGGGAUAUUGCACAAUGGGGGGAACCCUGAUGCAGCGACGCCGCGUGGGUGAAGGAGCGUUUCGGCGCGUAAAGCCCUAUCGGCAGGGAAGAAGGAGGACGGUACCUGACUAAGAAGCCCCGGCUAACUACGUGCCAGCAGCCGCGGUAAUACGUAGGGGGCAAGCGUUAUCCGGAUUUACUGGGUGUAAAGGGGGCGCAGACGGCAGCGCAAGCCAGGAGUGAAAGCCCGGGGCCCAACCCCGGGACUGCUCUUGGAACUGCGCGGCUGGAGUGCAGGAGGGGCAGGCGGAAUUCCUGGUGUAGCGGUGAAAUGCGUAGAUAUCAGGAGGAACACCGGUGGUGAAGGCGGCCUGCUGGACUGCGACUGACGUUGAGGCCCGAAAGCGUGGGGAGCAAACAGGAUUAGAUACCCCUGUACCG
Molecule: ribosomal RNA, 449 nt
Filed under: uncultured bacterium
Lineage: Bacteria
Description: bacterial SSU rRNA
Rfam family: Bacterial small subunit ribosomal RNA
Source: RNAcentral